UGGGGGAUCGUCCAAUGGCAGGACUGCGGAUUCUGAUUCCGCCUAUGAGGGUUCGAAUCCUUCUCCCCCAGCCA
RNAcentral lists this transfer RNA (74 nucleotides) under bacterium. RNAcentral describes it as "tRNA-Gln". It matches the Rfam family "tRNA". Rfam says of the family: Transfer RNA (tRNA) molecules are approximately 80 nucleotides in length. Their secondary structure includes four short double-helical elements and three loops (D, anti-codon, and T loops). Further hydrogen bonds mediate the characteristic L-shaped molecular structure. tRNAs have two regions of fundamental functional importance: the anti-codon, which is responsible for specific mRNA codon recognition, and the 3' end, to which the tRNAs corresponding amino acid is attached (by aminoacyl-tRNA synthetases). tRNAs cope with the degeneracy of the genetic code in two manners: having more than one tRNA (with a specific anti-codon) for a particular amino acid; and 'wobble' base-pairing, i.e. permitting non-standard base-pairing at the 3rd anti-codon position. The record is from RNAcentral.